This 1151-nucleotide unclassified non-coding RNA is filed under the name Hevea brasiliensis (rubber tree). The record is from RNAcentral. Lineage: Eukaryota; Viridiplantae; Streptophyta; Magnoliopsida; Malpighiales; Euphorbiaceae.
GCCUCAACGCCAUUUAUGACUCUGCCAAUUAAAUUCAAAAGCUUCAAACUUGAAUUUGCCACAAGCAUUGACCAUGGUUCCAUGUUUAUGGCUCAAUCCUACUAAUAUAAAUGUUGAGAAAGGAUUGAAUUUAGAAUCCAACAGCCACCGAGAUAUGAAAGCUCUUAGAAACAAUCAAAUAUAUAAAAAAUUUUGAACGCAUUUGUUUAUGUUUCAUACAAUUAAUCAAGUAUAAGAUGAUUUAUUUUAAACUACUAUUUCUCAGUGUCAUUUUGUCGAACAAUUGAAUAGCAACAAGUUGAAAAGCCACUAGGAAACAGGCAGGGUAAAAAGCUACAAGCACUGACAAAGGUAAAGGAUGCCACCUCGAAAAAAAUGAGUAAAUGAGAACAUAAGAUUCAGUGUGCAAGCUAGGAGCUUUGAGUUUCUAACUUGUUUAUGGAAAUGGAGAGUCCGGUGGUGGCAAGGAUUAGAGUAAUAGCUGUUGAAAUUAUGUUGUUUAAGGUUAGAGAGGGUACAAUAACAUUUAAAUGGUGGAUUAUACGACUGUGGUGGUGGUGCUACGGCGAUGGUGAGAGAAAGUAAGCAAGCACUGAUUUGCUAAAUGGGCUGGGAGGUUUUGGGUUUUUGAUCAACAGUAAAACCCUUGAAUUUCAGAGACCACUAGACUUUGGCCACAAAUGGGCCAACCAAUAUCCCCAAAAGCGUCACCACCCCUGCAGCCCUGCUGUUCUGCCUCUCUGUUUGCCAUGACAGAGACAGAGAUGCUUACUGUUCUGUUUCUGAAGUGCUUGCUACUUCUAUGCUUAUGGGUAGGGGAGCAUUCGAUUGGUUCGAUUUUCAAUUAAACUGAACUAAAUCGCUCAGUAUGAUUCUGUUAAGUUCGGUUUAAAACAAACCGAAUUUAUCAAAAAUCGACAUACUAUACAUACAUAAAAAUCAAUUCAGUGAAGUGAUGAUUUCUUUCUUAUAUACAAUUUAAUAUUUACAAGCAUCACAUUGACAGGAUAAUAUGUUAGAUAAUUAAAUCAAAAGAAAGCAUGAAGCAGAGCAUAUGUUCCACAGUUGUCCUUAAUCAAGAAAGAAAAAAGAAAAAUGAUCACAAGGAAGUGGAAAAAAAAAUAUCAGCAGAAAUGCUAAUGCUUCUCCAA